CCUGGUAAUAAGGGUGAUGGUGAUGGUCUGAGGCGUGGGCGGCGCGGUGGAUAUAUAAGUGUGUCGGGCGCGAGCUUGUCUUGUCGCACCCCGGCAUUCGCUCUCCCGAAGUCAUGGUUUCCAGCUCUCUGAUCCUGCUGCCCCUCCUGCUGGCCGCCACUCAGUCUGGCGAGGCGGCCAAGAUCAACAGCAACGGAUGUGACUUCUCGCAGUUCGGGGCUCUCAACGCCAUGAACAUUUUCCCGAACUUCGAAUGUUACCCAGUACGAUACGCACCCACGGCGGAGGACAUCAAGGCUAUCCUCAUGACCCACAACAAGAUGAGAAUGAAGGUGGCUAUGGGCAAGGAGGAACGCGGCAGCCCAGGCCCCCAGCCCACCGCCGCCAAUAUGAGGGAGAUGGUCUGGGACAUGCAACUGGCCGAUCUAGCGCAGGCGUGGGCCAACCAGUGCAGUUUCUCCCACGACGAGUACGCUUCCAGACAGACUUGCAAGGACUCCACCAUCGGCCAGAACCUUCUCAUCAAGGACUCCGCGGAUAUGUUUAACGGCAAGAAGCUCAACUGGCCCCGCGCCAUUCACGAGUGGUACAUCGAAGUUGAGAACCACCCGGGCGCGGCGGUGCAGGAGUUCACGUCCCUGAUGAACGGAGAAGCCACGACCGGCCACUACACACAGCUUGCGUGGGCCGAGAGUAACAAGAUUGGAUGUGGCGCCACGCAGUUCGGCAACCAGGUCCUCUUCGUGUGCAACUACGCGGCGGAGGGCAACGUGAAGCCCCAGGCGGUGUACAUGAGCGGCCAGCCGGCGUCUCACUGCGUCAGCGGCCCCUCCACCUUCUACCCCGGCCUCUGCAAGUAGGGCGAGGAUGUGACGGCACGGCGGCAUAGGGGCAGUUUCACAGUUCCCCAUGUUGGAGGCAGAGAAAGACCUUGGACUAUAUGUUACCAGGCUACCAGUGAAGGGAUAUCCAGCACACCAAUACCACAUGGGAAACACUCCACUAUCCACCACAGAGGCAGAGAAAGACCUGGGACCAUAUGUUACCAGGCUACCAGUGAAGGGAUAUCCAGCACACCAAUACCACAUGGGAAACACUCCACUAUCCACCACAGAGGCAGAGAAAGACCUGGGACUAUAUGUUACCAGGCUACCAGUGAAGGCCAAAUCCGUGCCAAUCGCAGCGGACGGGUUAAGUGAGAGAUAAAUAGCACAGAAGUAUUUAGGCGUUGGUGGGCGACAAGAUUUUGCUCACCCCGCUGCAGGACGUGGACGACAGGACGCAGAGCCGCCUGCAGGAGGUGUCAGGGUGCACCGUCACCUGCCCUUCACUGGUCCUCGGUAAUUCUGUACGAUCUCCCACCUUAUGGAUUCCUCUGUUCAUCCAUUAUGUUUCUAUUAUAUAAACUUUAAUCCAAUAACACCGAGGCCAUUAAAUGUUUUAGGUGUUGUGUGUUGAUGUUCACACGUUGCCUGGAAGGAGAAAACUUAAUUGUGUUGGGCGGGGCGACGUAAUCAGUGGUGUUCAAGGUUUUAAGUUGUUGCCUUCACCAGGAGAAAAAAAUGAUGGAAUGCUCAGAGAUUUAUACCUGUUCAGAUUUAAUAACAGACACACGGGUACUGAUGUAUGCUCUCCUGUUAAAUAAAGGUUUUACCGUUAUUGCA
RNA transcript from Eriocheir sinensis (Chinese mitten crab), 1664 nucleotides. It is a transcript of the gene named scoloptoxin SSD976-like, with no coding region annotated. NCBI's taxonomy places the organism in Eukaryota, Metazoa, Arthropoda, Malacostraca, Decapoda, Varunidae. The transcript is spliced from 7 exons. The record is from RefSeq and is a predicted model, not a curated record.